RNAcentral lists this ribosomal RNA (441 nucleotides) under uncultured bacterium. RNAcentral's name for it is "partial 16S ribosomal RNA". It matches the Rfam family "Bacterial small subunit ribosomal RNA", at positions 339 to 795 of the family's 1533-position model. The record is from RNAcentral.
CUACGGGUGGCACCAGUGGGGAAUAUUGGGCAAUGGGCGCAAGCCUGACCCAGCAACGCCGCGUGAGGGAAGAAGGUUUUCGGAUUGUAAACCUCUGUCCUUGGGGACGAAGAAGUGACGGUACCCAAGGAGGAAGCUCCGGCUAACUACGUGCCAGCAGCCGCGGUAAUAUGUAGGGAGCAAGCGUUGUCCGGAAUUACUGGGCGUAAAGGGUGCGUAGGCGGCAUAUUAAGUCAGGUGUGAAAUACUCGGGCUCAACCCGGGGGCUGCAUUUGAAACUGAUAUGCUUGAGUGUGAGAGAGGAAAGUGGAAUUCCUAGUGUAGCGGUGGAAUGCGUAGAAAUUAGGAGGAACACCAGUGGCGAAGGCGACUUUCUGGCUCAUAACUGACGCUGAGGCACGAAAGCGUGGGGAGCAAACAGGAUUAGAUACCCUAGUAGUC